Physeter macrocephalus (sperm whale) is the source of this 3322-nucleotide RNA transcript. It is a transcript of the gene named proline rich and Gla domain 4, with no coding region annotated. The record is from RefSeq and is a predicted model, not a curated record. Lineage: Eukaryota; Metazoa; Chordata; Mammalia; Artiodactyla; Physeteridae. The transcript has 7 exons.
CAAGGAGCUGCUUCCUCCUUUUCCCACAGCUCCGCGGUCUCCCGGGAUCAAGGCUGGGCCUGCGCCGCGCGUCCCCGUGCCGGCCAGGGCGGCGCUCCGCGGACUCCAGGCGCUUCCUCGAGAGUGCGGGCCACUCCGGCCCUGCGGAAAGCAAGGCGAGGGUUUUGGGGGCGCUGAGACGGAGGGUCUGGCGGCCGCAGGGACUACCCAAGCACGGGGCUCCGGCCCGGGAGCUGCUGGAACAUGCGCCCGGAGCUGCAGUUGCCAGACUAUGUUUACACUCCUGGUGCUACUCAGCCAACUGCGCAUAGUUACCUUCGCGUUCCCUCAUCGCACAAGAAGUCCAGAGGAGUCUAGGCAUGCGGGAGAAGAAGUCUUUACAUCAAAAGAAGAAGCAAACUUGUUCAUACGUAGACACCUCCUAUAUAAUAGAUUUGAUUUGGAGCUCUUCACUCCCAGUGACCUAGAAAGAGAAUGCAGAGAAGAACUUUGUAAUUAUGAGGAAGCCAGAGAAAUUUUUGUGGAUGAAGAUAAAACGAUGACAUUUUGGCAAGAAUAUUCAAUUAAAGGACCAACCACAGAAUCAGAUGCUAACAGCGAGAAAAUCGAUGUUAUGGGCCUUCUGACUGGACUAAUUGCUGCUGGAGUAUUUUUGGUUAUUUUUGGAUUACUUGGUUACUAUCUUUGUAUCACUAAGUGUAACAGGCAACAACAUCCAGGUUCUUCAGCCACCUACGCAAGAAGGGGCAGACACACUCCCUCCAUCAUUUUCAGAAGACCUGAGGAGGCUGUCUUGUCUCCAUUGCCACCUUCAGUGGAGGACACAGGAUUACCUUCUUAUGAACAGGCAAUGGCACUGACCAGAAAACACAAUGUUUCGCCGCCACCACCAUAUCCUGGGCCAGCAAAAGGGUUUAGGGUAUUUAAAAAAUCUAUGUCACUCCCAUCUCACUAAGCCCACCUUGUUGUCUUGGUGAUAUAGGACAUUCACAUUAUUUAAAUGGUUUGUUUUCCCUGAACCAAAAAGACAUGUCAAUUCAGCCCUUUAUGACGAACUGCAGAGAGUAAAGGAGGAAUAAGCACGUGUACUAUGCCACUGGAGAUCUGUUAGCAUCCUGGACCUGAACUUGAUCAUAAUCAGCUGGAUAAGGAACUUUGUAUCUUUGCAGUUAAGAAGAGAGCACUUUUUUGUUCCUUUUAAUGGUUCAAAAAAUCUGUUAUGGAUGUCACAGCUACAACUGGGGAGCUAUCUGUAUCCUUUGUACAGAAAAAGUUUGUAGAUUUCUUGUAUUGAAUACUAAAAAGAGUCUCUUUGGUUGCGUGUUACAAAGAAAUCAUCUGGCAACAUUUAGAUAUAAUUAGGAAGAAGUCUUUUUAAAGCCACCUACAUUACCUAUAAAAAUUUUACCAUUUGUCAUACCUUGGCUUACAUAAGCACUUUUCCUCAUGUAACUUUGCACUUUGCCCUUAUUUUAAUCCUCUUUAAAAGGUCGGAGGCAAACUCUACUCACUUUAGCAAUCACACGAAGGCAUAGAAGGAUAGCUUGACCACAAUCUAACAUGUUGGUGAGAGCUAGGUUUAGAAUGAGCAAGCACACUUUUCUAGGCCCAUCUCAUACAUAUAGAAUUACACUGUCUCAAAUUAUGAAAUUAUAAAGUAGAGACAAUUCUAAGUCUGUAUGAGAAAUGUAUAAACAUUUGUCAUAUAUACAUAAAUGUAUAUAGGUGCAUAUAUUACAUAUCUGUAUAUGUAUUCUCACACAUGUGUUUCUUAGGAUGAAUAAAAAUAUAAGAUACGAUAUAUCUUUUAUUGAAUCACAAUUUGAAAUAUUCCAUGAACUUGUUUACUCCCAUUGACUCACAAGAAUCUAACUGCAAAUCUAGCUUCAGAGCCUGUGACAACCCCUGUCACCCCAGCAGUAGCCUAGAUUUGUCAUGUGCCAUCAUUAAGUGUGAAACUGUUGCUCUGACUUGAACAAAUCUAGAAUUUAUCAUUAAGAUUAUGAAAUAACUGGUAUUUGUAGAGCAUCUAAUGUUGAGUUAAUAAUACUUUAAAUAUAAAAAAGAAAAUGUGAUAGAACCAUAAUCAACAAAUACUUAAAAUAAUUAAAAGGAAAAUAUCAAUAUAAAAUUAUUGACAUGGGCUUCCCUGGUGGCGCAGUGGUUGAGAGUCCGCCUGCCGUUGCAGGGGACACAGGUUCGUGCCCCGGCCUGGGAAGAUCCCACACGCCGCGGAGCGGCUGGGCCCAUGAGCCAUGGACACUGAGCCUGCGCGUCCGGAGGCUGUGCUCCGCAACGGGACAGGCCACAGCAGUGAGAGGCCCGCGUACCGCAAAAAAAAAAAAAAAAAUUGACACAUUUUUCUGUCCCAUUCACGCUUUUCUAUUCCUUGUAUACUUUUGGUGGUGGGUUUUCUGGUUUGAUUAAUUUGUUUUGUUUGUGCUUCUUCCCUGGAUAACUGAUUAGUGUUAACCAUUAAAUCUAUUUUUGACACAAAACUUUCUAGUUAGGUAUAUCAGUUUUCCCCUCUAUCACAAUCAGGAAGUGAAUGUAACAUGGGUAUGAAAAGGGAAUAAGCCUAGAAAAAGACAAAUACACAUUACUAGGGUUAUGCCUUCAGUAGGCUAGAUAAUUCUACACAGAAUAUUCUCUUUUCAAGAUGAAAAAAAUCAAAGAGCACAAAUUAUGACUGUGUCAAAGUUUUGCAUCUGUUAAUAUUGUGCCCUCUGAGUGAUUAUACAGAGCUGGGCGAAAAUUCUCAGAACAAUUAAAAACUAGAGCAACAGCGUACUCUGUGUCUGGUUUCCCGUUUGCCUGUAAAAUUCCAACCAUUUUUUCCUAUUUCUCAGAUAAGUUAUGUAUGUGUGUACUUUUCGUAUAUGUGCAAGAGAAUUUUUUAGUGAGAAAAAGUUUGUUAGUGCUGUUUAAAAGCUUAAUUUCAUAUUAUUCAUUUUGCUUUUGUUCUAACUGAAUGAAAUAAAUUAGUUACCAGUUUGAUUUGAAAUGUUGUAUGUGACAUUUAUACCACUAGAAGAGUGUCUAGAAUUUCUGUAAUUUUUUUAAAAACUAGAUUCUUUUGUAGAUCCUGCCUGUGUAGCAUUUUGGAACACAUAUGACAUAUAAUGAUGCCUUCAAUCUUCUGUAUUGUGUGUUUCCGUCAACAUUUUUUUGUUGUUUACAAAUGUUUCCCUAACAGUUCAAGAGUUUAUGGCAAUUCAGUACAAAUUUAUCAGCAUUUUCAUUAUCUGCAAAAAGCAACCCAUUUUUGAAUGCAUAUUUUUCCUGCAGGUUUGAUUAUAUUUUGGUUUUAACAGAUUUGUUA